This 253-nucleotide ribosomal RNA is filed under the name uncultured bacterium. RNAcentral's name for it is "partial 16S ribosomal RNA". It matches the Rfam family "Bacterial small subunit ribosomal RNA", at positions 524 to 776 of the family's 1533-position model. The record is from RNAcentral.
UACGGAGGGUCCAAGCGUUAUCCGGAAUCAUUGGGUUUAAGGGGUCCGUAGGCGGUUUUGUAAGUCAGUGGUGAAAGCCCAUCGCUCAACGGUGGAACGGCCAUUGAUACUGCAAGACUUGAAUUAUUAGGAAGUAACUAGAAUAUGUAGUGUAGCGGUGAAAUGCUUAGAUAUUACAUGGAAUACCAAUUGCGAAGGCAGGUUACUACUAAUUGAUUGACGCUGAUGGACGAAAGCGUGGGGAGCGAACAGG